UACGUAGGGUGCAAGCGUUGUCCGGAAUUAUUGGGCGUAAAGCGCGCGCAGGCGGCCUUUUAAGUCUGAUGUGAAAGCCCACGGCUCAACCGUGGAAGGUCAUUGGAAACUGAAGGGCUUGAGUACAGAAGAGGAAAGCGGAAUUCCACGUGUAGCGGUGAAAUGCGUAGAGAUGUGGAGGAACACCAGUGGCGAAGGCGACUCACUGGCCCGAUACUGACGCUGAGGCGCGAAAGCGUGGGGAGCAAACAGG
Molecule: ribosomal RNA, 253 nt
Filed under: uncultured bacterium
Lineage: Bacteria
Description: partial 16S ribosomal RNA
Rfam family: Bacterial small subunit ribosomal RNA
Source: RNAcentral